UCCUGGGUAACUCAGCUGGAAGAGCAUGAGUCUCUUGAUCUCAGGGCUGUGAGUUCGAGCCUCAUCUUGGGUG
This 73-nucleotide transfer RNA is filed under the name Canis lupus familiaris (dog). It matches the Rfam family "tRNA". Rfam says of the family: Transfer RNA (tRNA) molecules are approximately 80 nucleotides in length. Lineage: Eukaryota; Metazoa; Chordata; Mammalia; Carnivora; Canidae. RNAcentral also lists the same sequence under 1 other name. The record is from Rfam by way of RNAcentral.